AACUGAUACUACCUGCGGGAACCUGCGGAGGGAUCAUUGCUGGAACGCGCCCCAGGCGCACCCAGAAACCCUUUGUGAACUUAUACCUUACUGUUGCCUCGGCGCAUGCCGGCCCCCAGGGGCCCCUCGGAGACGAGGAGCAGGCACGCCGGCGGCCAACCUAACUCUUGUUUUUACACUGAAACUCUGAGAAAAAAAACAAAAUGAAUCAAAACUUUCAACAACGGAUCUCUAGAUCGG
Molecule: unclassified non-coding RNA, 240 nt
Filed under: soil metagenome
Description: partial contains 5.8S ribosomal RNA, internal transcribed spacer 2, and large subunit ribosomal RNA
Source: RNAcentral